UACGUAGGGUGCGAGCGUUAAUCGGAAUUACUGGGCGUAAAGUGUGCGCAGGCGGCCGCGCAAGUCGAGUGUGAAAGCCCCGAGCUUAACUUGGGAAUUGCGCUCGAAACUACGUGGCUGGAGUGUGGCAGAGGAAGGUGGAAUUCCAGGUGUAGCGGUGAAAUGCGUAGGGAUCUGGAGGAACACCGAUGGCGAAGGCAGCCUUCUGGGCCAACACUGACGCUCAUGCACGAAAGCGUGGGGAGCAAACAGG
This 253-nucleotide ribosomal RNA is filed under the name uncultured bacterium. Its description in RNAcentral is "partial 16S ribosomal RNA". It matches the Rfam family "Bacterial small subunit ribosomal RNA", at positions 524 to 776 of the family's 1533-position model. The record is from RNAcentral.